GUUGAGUUCAGAAUGACAAUAGACUUUCAUUGAAAAUGAAGCAGUUUGUUAUUGUAUAUCUCUGUCUCUGUACAUUGGCUUUGUACACCAUUGUAAAUGCAGAUGGAGGCACAAUUCCAAAUUGUUGUCUGAAGGUGUCUAAUACAGUUCUGUCCAUAAAUCAAGUCAGUAGUCAUUAUUUACAAGAAAAGGAUGGACGAUGCCCGGUUGAUGCUGUUGUAUUCAGCACAGUUAAAGGAAAGAUAGUCUGUUCUGAUCGCAAAAGACCCUGGGUAAAGAGAGUAAUCAAACAACUCAUUGAAAACCAGAAGCAGAAAAUGACAACCAAAAUCCCAGUUUAUCAAUCAACACAAGAAUAUCCAAGUACUGCAGGAAAUACUUUAGUGACACGAGGACAACAGUAUUCCGAUACUCCGGACUGCUAAUCAAGUGGUGUUUAUAUAUUAGUUUAAAUUCCUUUGUAAUCAUAUAUUUAUUAUGCAAUAUUAAAUGAAAAAUCAGAUCAUAUUAUAUUUAUCUUAUUAGAUUUCCUAAUAAUAAAUGCAUUGGUGCCAAUAUUACUCAUUCAGUAAUUCAGUAACUGUAAUAAAUCAUACCAUCCAUACUUACAAUCAAGACUUUUCUACACUAAAUGUAUUAUUUUCAGUUUUUUAGGACUAAUGGUAAAUUACGUGUAUUGUCACACAUUGAACGUUUGCUUAUUUAAAUGAAUAGCAAGUCAAUAUCUAAAUGAAUAAAAAGUCAAUAUUUAUGGUCUUCACUGUAUGUAGUUAAUCCAAAGGAGUCCAUCUUAAAUCUGAAAUCGGUAAUGUUUUUCCAUAUUACAAGUUCUCAUGACACAGAUGAUAAAAUACUUAUGUAUUUGGUUGUCACAAUAAGCUUUAUAUUGACAAGAAUGUAUUUCGUUUUUUGUUGCUCGCUGGCCUCUGUGUUAGAAUUGAACGCUACCUACUGUAUGUAUGUUGUGAAUGUAUGUAAAUAUAAGCCACUUACAGGUAUUUGUUAUGGAACAGUUAUUUAAAUAAAUUAUUUGAACAAUU
Long non-coding RNA from Acipenser ruthenus (sterlet), 1040 nucleotides. RefSeq lists it as uncharacterized. The record is from RefSeq and is a predicted model, not a curated record. The transcript is spliced from 3 exons. NCBI's taxonomy places the organism in Eukaryota, Metazoa, Chordata, Actinopteri, Acipenseriformes, Acipenseridae.